Molecule: ribosomal RNA, 252 nt
Filed under: uncultured prokaryote
Description: partial 16S rRNA
Rfam family: Archaeal small subunit ribosomal RNA
Source: RNAcentral
ACCGGCGGCUCGAGUGGUGGCCACUAUUACUGGGCUUAAAGCGUUCGUAGCUGGCUUGUUAAGUCUCUGGGGAAAUCUUCCGGCUCAACCGGAAGGCGUCUCAGGGAUACUGGCAGGAUAGGGACCGGAAGAGGUGAGAGGUACUCCAGGGGGAGGGGUGGAAACCUGUAAUCCGAGAGGGAGGAACUAAGGCUGAGGGGUCACACCGGAACAGAUCCUAUAGUGGGCAAGGUAAGAGGCGAACGCAAGGCG